Molecule: long non-coding RNA, 807 nt
Organism: Dermochelys coriacea (leatherback sea turtle)
Lineage: Eukaryota; Metazoa; Chordata; Testudines; Dermochelyidae
Exons: 3
Source: RefSeq, a predicted model, not a curated record
CACAAAGCUUUCAAUGAGAGUUGAGUGAUUCCUUACUUUUGGAGCAGUUAUGCAAGCACCAUGAAGGGAUAAUUCAUUUACCUCGAGCUAUGGAAAGUAAACGUAUCAACGUUGUUUGAUACGUUACAAGUGCAUAGCACAUUAUUGAUAUUUCUGGGUGUGAUUUUUCUUUCGGGCAAUAGCUGGUCUUCCUGAAAUUGAGAGACAGAAAACAACAGCUGGGGACAGAAGAAGGCAAAACUUCAGUUGCCAGUUUGUUCCCAGGGAUCGGCAACGUGUCCGUACACGGACACUAGUGUCCAUGGUAAAAAUGUUGAGGUCCGUGGGGGCGCUCACCUUGGAAGCCUCCCCACAACUGGCUCUCCAUCCCUGCUGUUGCUGGCGGAGGCAUGGCCAGGUGGCUCUGCAGGCUGCCUCUGUCCCCCGUCCCUGAGCGCUGACUCUGCAGCUCCCAACCUAUUGGCGGUAGUGGCAACUACAGCAAGAGGGAGGGUGGCUGGGAGGAUGGGUACUCACCUCCCCAAAACCAUUCCUCUAACCCUCAUCCCAAAUCUCCUGUAAAAGCAGAAGAGCCCAAAAGGGCUAUCAGUGUAAUUCCACUGAUCACCUGAGAAAUAAAUGUCCUGUGCUAGGAGGAAGCAGGCAACCAAUAGCUCAUGUUAGUUCUGCUGUCCUCAACACAGAAGUCCCCCAAGCAAUUGAACCCUAUCAUAUUGGUUUUGUGAGAUUAGCCUCUGCAGAACCAGAAUGGAGCACGUUAAGGUUGUCAGAAUUAAUGGCAGAGAAUACUUGGGGCAGAGGGAUACA